AUGAACGCUUGCGGCGUGCCUAAUACAUUCAAGUCGAGCGAACGGACGAGAAGCUUGCUUCUCUGAUGUUAGCGGCGGACGGGUGAGUAACACGUGGAUAACCUACCUAUAAGACUGGGAUAACUUCGGGAAACCGGAGCUAAUACCGGAUAAUAUUUUGAACCGCAUGGUUCAAAAGUGAAAGACGGUCUUGCUGUCACUUAUAGAUGGAUCCGCGCUGCAUUAGCUAGUUGGUAAGGUAACGGCUUACCAAGGCAACGAUGCAUAGCCGACCUGAGAGGGUGAUCGGCCACACUGGAACUGAGACACGGUCCAGACUCCUACGGGAGGCAGCAGUAGGGAAUCUUCCGCAAUGGGCGAAAGCCUGACGGAGCAACGCCGCGUGAGUGAUGAAGGUCUUCGGAUCGUAAAACUCUGUUAUUAGGGAAGAACAUAUGUGUAAGUAACUGUGCACAUCUUGACGGUACCUAAUCAGAAAGCCACGGCUAACUACGUG
This 496-nucleotide ribosomal RNA is filed under the name uncultured bacterium. Its description in RNAcentral is "partial 16S ribosomal RNA". It matches the Rfam family "Bacterial small subunit ribosomal RNA", at positions 29 to 507 of the family's 1533-position model. The record is from RNAcentral.